This 388-nucleotide ribosomal RNA is filed under the name uncultured bacterium. Its description in RNAcentral is "bacterial SSU rRNA". It matches the Rfam family "Bacterial small subunit ribosomal RNA", at positions 28 to 418 of the family's 1533-position model. The record is from RNAcentral.
GACGAACGCUGGCGGCGUGCUUAACACAUGCAAGUCGAGCGGUAAGGCCCUUUCGGGGGUACACGAGCGGCGAACGGGUGAGUAACACGUGGGUGACCUGCCCUCAGCUCUGGGAUAAGCCUGGGAAACCGGGUCUAAUACCGGAUAUGACUCCAUGACGCAUGUUGUGGGGUGGAAAGCCUUGUGCGGCUGAGGAUGGGCCCGCGGCCUAUCAGCUUGUUGGUGGGGUGAUGGCCACCAAGGCGACGACGGGUAGCCGGCCUGAGAGGGCGACCGGCCACACUGGGACUGAGACACGGCCCAGACUCCUACGGGAGGCAGCAGUGGGGAAUCUUGCGCAAUGGGCGAAAGCCUGACGCAGCGACGCCGCGUGAGGGAUGACGGCCUU